GGAUAUGUGUCUGAGUGGUUUAAAGUAUAACUCUUGAGUAGUUAUGUAUGUUUCUACAUACCGUAAGUUCGAAUCUUACCAUAUCCU
RNAcentral lists this transfer RNA (87 nucleotides) under Blastobotrys adeninivorans. RNAcentral describes it as "tRNA-Ser". It matches the Rfam family "tRNA". From Rfam's summary of the family: Transfer RNA (tRNA) molecules are approximately 80 nucleotides in length. Their secondary structure includes four short double-helical elements and three loops (D, anti-codon, and T loops). Lineage: Eukaryota; Fungi; Ascomycota; Dipodascomycetes; Dipodascales; Trichomonascaceae. The record is from RNAcentral.